UACAGAGGGGGCAAGCGUUAUUCGGAAUUAUUGGGCGUAAAGGGCGCGUAGGCGGCUUCGCAAGUGACGGGUGAAAUCCCUCGGCUUAACCGAGGAACUGCCUGUCAGACUGCAUGGCUUGAGACCAGGAGAGGUGAGUGGAAUUCCCAGUGUAGCGGUGAAAUGCGUAGAUAUCUGGAGGAAUACCGGUGGCGAAGGCGGCAUCCUGGACCGACAUUGACGCUGAACGGCGAAAGCUAGGGGAGCAAACGGG
RNAcentral lists this ribosomal RNA (253 nucleotides) under uncultured bacterium. Its description in RNAcentral is "partial 16S ribosomal RNA". It matches the Rfam family "Bacterial small subunit ribosomal RNA", at positions 524 to 776 of the family's 1533-position model. The record is from RNAcentral.